GGAGUAAAAGUCGUAACAAGGUCUCCGUAGGUGAACCUGCGGAGGGAUCAUUACAGAGUUCUCGCCCUCACGGGUAGAUCUCCCACCCACUGUUAUCGUUACUGUCGUUUCUUUGGCGGGCCGCCGGGUCCCCGGCCGCCGGCGCCUAGCUGCCGGCGCGCGCCCGCCAGAGGCCUUCAAACUCUGAAUGUUAGUGUCGUCUGAGUACUAUAUAAUAGUUAAAACUUUCAACAACGGAUCUCUUGGUUCUG
RNAcentral lists this unclassified non-coding RNA (251 nucleotides) under plant metagenome. RNAcentral describes it as "partial contains small subunit ribosomal RNA, internal transcribed spacer 1, and 5.8S ribosomal RNA". The stretch from base 1 to 53 matches the Rfam family "Eukaryotic small subunit ribosomal RNA", at positions 1779 to 1831 of the family's 1831-position model. The record is from RNAcentral.